RNAcentral lists this ribosomal RNA (352 nucleotides) under Placobdella sp. 3 DdC-2017. Its description in RNAcentral is "partial 12S ribosomal RNA". It matches the Rfam family "Bacterial small subunit ribosomal RNA", at positions 874 to 1384 of the family's 1533-position model. The record is from RNAcentral. Lineage: Eukaryota; Metazoa; Annelida; Clitellata; Rhynchobdellida; Glossiphoniidae.
UUCUAUUAAUAGCCUAAUUCUAGGGUUGGAAAAUACGAACAACAGUUUAAACACCAAAGAAUUUGGCGGUGUCUUAAUUAAUUAGGGGAACCUGUCCCUUAAAUCGAUAAUCCACGAAAGCCUUACCUAAUUUUGAAACUCAGUUAGUGUACUGCCGUCUCAAGUAUACCCUUAUGGGUGUAUACAACAAAUUAUUAAACUAAUAUUACGUCAGGUCAAAGUGCAGCUUAUAAUUAGGUGGAGAUGGGUUACAACCUUAAUAAAGACUACGGAUAAUGAGAAUAAACUACUCCUUUAAAGGUGGACUUAACAGUAAUUACUUAUACAGUAAUGAAGACCAUAUAAGACAUGU